RNAcentral lists this microRNA precursor (96 nucleotides) under Strigamia maritima. RNAcentral's name for it is "mir-130 microRNA precursor family". It matches the Rfam family "mir-130 microRNA precursor family". From Rfam's summary of the family: The hairpin precursors (represented here) are predicted based on base pairing and cross-species conservation -- their extents are not known. In this case the mature sequence is excised from the 3' arm of the hairpin. The record is from Rfam by way of RNAcentral. Lineage: Eukaryota; Metazoa; Arthropoda; Chilopoda; Geophilomorpha; Linotaeniidae.
UUCAAAUGAUACUUCUUCUAACAUUGCUGCACUGUUGGCAACAAUUCUGCACUAUUGGCAACAGUGCAGCAAUGUUAGAAGAAGUAACAUUUGGAA